Molecule: ribosomal RNA, 253 nt
Filed under: uncultured bacterium
Lineage: Bacteria
Description: partial 16S ribosomal RNA
Rfam family: Bacterial small subunit ribosomal RNA
Source: RNAcentral
UACGUAGGGUCCGAGCGUUGUCCGGAAUUAUUGGGCGUAAAGGGCUCGUAGGCGGUUCGUCACGUCGGGAGUGAAAACUCGGGGCUUAACCCCGAGCCUGCUUCCGAUACGGGCAGACUAGAGGUAGGCAGGGGAGAGCGGAACUCCUGGUGUAGCGGUGGAAUGCGCAGAUAUCAGGAAGAACACCGGUGGCGAAGGCGGCUCUCUGGGCCGUAACUGACGCUGAGGAGCGAAAGCGUGGGGAGCGAACAGG